RNAcentral lists this ribosomal RNA (253 nucleotides) under uncultured bacterium. RNAcentral's name for it is "partial 16S ribosomal RNA". It matches the Rfam family "Bacterial small subunit ribosomal RNA", at positions 524 to 776 of the family's 1533-position model. The record is from RNAcentral.
UACGUAGGGGGCAAGCGUUGUCCGGAAUCAUUGGGCGUAAAGCGCGUGUAGGCGGCCUUGUAAGUCCGUUGUGAAAGCCCGGGGCUCAACCCCGGGAGGCGGAUGGAUACUGCAGGGCUCGAGUACGGAAGAGGCGAGUGGAAUUCCCGGUGUAGCGGUGAAAUGCGCAGAUAUCGGGAGGAACACCGGUGGCGAAGGCGGGUCUCUGGGCCGAUACUGACGCUGAGGAGCGAAAGCGUGGGGAGCGAACAGG